Molecule: ribosomal RNA, 468 nt
Filed under: uncultured bacterium
Lineage: Bacteria
Description: partial 16S ribosomal RNA
Rfam family: Bacterial small subunit ribosomal RNA
Source: RNAcentral
GACGAACGCUGGCGGCGUGCUUAACACAUGCAAGUCGAACGGAAAGGCCCUGCUUUUGUGGGGUGCUCGAGUGGCGAACGGGUGAGUAACACGUGAGUAACCUGCCCUUGACUUUGGGAUAACUUCAGGAAACUGGGGCUAAUACCGGAUAGGAGCUCCUGCUGCAUGGUGGGGGUUGGAAAGUUUCGGCGGUUGGGGAUGGACUCGCGGGUUAUCCGCUUGUUGGUGUGGUAGUGGCUUACCAAGGCUUUGACGGGUAGCCGGCCUGAGAGGGUGACCGGCGACAUUGGGACUGAGAUACGUCCCAGACUCCUACGGGAGGCAGCAGUGGAGAAUAUUGCACAAUGGGCGGAAGCGUGAUGCAGCAACGCCGCGUGCGGGAUGACGGCCUUCGGGUUGUAAACCGCUUUCGCCUGUGACGAAGCGUGAGUGACGGUAAUGGGUAAAGAAGCACCGGCUAACUACGUG